UAUCGGAUUACUGGGCGUAAGCGCACGCAGGCGGUCUGUCAAGUCGGAUGUGAAAUCCCCGGGCUCAACCUGGGAACUGCAUUCGAAACUGGCAGGCUAGAGUCUUGUAGAGGGGGGUAGAAUUCCAGGUGUAGCGGUGAAAUGCGUAGAGAUCUGGAGGAAUACCGGUGGCGAAGGCGGCCCCCUGGACAAAGACUGACGCUCAGGUGCGAAAGCGUGGGGAGCAAACAGGAUUAGAUACCCUGGUAGUCCACGCCGUAAACGAUGUCGACUUGGAGGUUGUGCCCUUGAGGCGUGGCUUCCGGAGCUAACGCGUUAAGUCGACCGCCUGGGGAGUACGGCCGCAAGGUUAAAACUCAAAUGAAUUGACGGGGGCCCGCACAAGCGGUGGAGCAUGUGGUUUAAUUCGAUGCAACGCGAAGAACCUUACCUACUCUUGACAUCCAGAGAACUUUCCAGAGAUGCAUUGGUGCCUUCGGGAACUCUGAGACAGGUGCUGCAUGGCUGUCGUCAGCUCGUGUUGUGAAAUGUUGGGUUAAGUCCCGCAACGAGCGCAACCCUUAUCCUUUGUUGCCAGCGGUUCGGCCGGGAACUCAAAGGAGACUGCCAGUGAUAAACUGGAGGAAGGGUGGGGGAUGACGUCAAGUCAUCAUGGCCCUUACGAGUAGGGCUACACACGUGCUACAAUGGCGCAUACAAAGAGAAGCGACCUCGCGAGAGCNAGCGGACCUCAUAAAGUGCGUCGUAGUCCGGAUUGGAGUCUGCAACUCGACUCCAUGAAGUCGGAAUCGCUAGUAAUCGUGGAUCAGAAUGCCACGGUGAAUACGUUCCCGGGCCUUGUACACACCGCCCGUCACACCAUGGGGAGUGGGUUGCAAAAGAAGUANGUAGCUUAACCUUCGGGAGGGCGCUUACCACUUUGUGAUUCAUGACUGGGGUGA
Molecule: ribosomal RNA, 941 nt
Filed under: Weissella cibaria
Lineage: Bacteria; Bacillati; Bacillota; Bacilli; Lactobacillales; Lactobacillaceae
Description: bacterial SSU rRNA
Rfam family: Bacterial small subunit ribosomal RNA
Source: RNAcentral